GGAGGGGUGGCUGAGCGGUUUAAGGCAUCCGACUUGAAAUCGGACGAGCUCCGCAAGGGCUCCGGGGGUUCGAAUCCCUCCCCCUCCGCCA
RNAcentral lists this transfer RNA (91 nucleotides) under Kiritimatiellia bacterium. Its description in RNAcentral is "Kiritimatiellae bacterium (wastewater metagenome) tRNA-Ser". It matches the Rfam family "tRNA". From Rfam's summary of the family: Transfer RNA (tRNA) molecules are approximately 80 nucleotides in length. Their secondary structure includes four short double-helical elements and three loops (D, anti-codon, and T loops). Lineage: Bacteria; Pseudomonadati; Kiritimatiellota; Kiritimatiellia. The record is from RNAcentral.